CAGGCUUAACACAUGCAAGUCGAGGGGCAGCAUGGUCUUAGCUUGCUAAGGCCGAUGGCGACCGGCGCACGGGUGAGUAACGCGUAUCCAACCUGCCUUACACUCUUGGACAGCCUUCUGAAAGGGAGAUUAAUACAAGAUGUUAUCAUGAGUAAGCAUUUUCGCAUGAUUAAAGGUUUACCGGUGUAAGAUGGGGAUGCGUUCCAUUAGAUAGUAGGCGGGGUAACGGCCCACCUAGUCUUCGAUGGAUAGGGGUUCUGAGAGGAAGGUCCCCCACAUUGGAACUGAGACACGGUCCAAACUCCUACGGGAGGCAGCAGUGAGGAAUAUUGGUCAAUGGACGAGAGUCUGAACCAGCCAAGUAGCGUGAAGGAUGAAGGUUCUAUGGAUUGUAAACUUCUUUUAUACGGGAAUAAACGGAUCCACGUGUGGAUUUUUGCAUGUACCGUAUGAAUAAGGAUCGGCUAACUCCGUGCCAGCAGCCGCGGUAAUACGGAGGAUCCGAGCGUUAUCCGGAUUUAUUGGGUUUAAAGGGAGCGUAGAUGGGUUGUUAAGUCAGUUGUGAAAGUUUGCGGCUCAACCGUAAAAUUGCAAUUGAUACUGGCAGUCUUGAGUACAGUUGAGGUAGGCGGAAUUCGUGGUGUAGCGGUGAAAUGCUUAGAUAUCACGAAGAACUCCGAUUGCGAAGGCAGCUUACUAACCUGUAACUGACAUUGAUGCUCGAAAGUGUGGGUAUCAAACAGGAUUAGAUACCCUGGUAGUCCACACGGUAAACGAUGAAUACUCGCUGUAGGCGAUAUACAGUCUGCGGCCAAGCGAAAGCAUUAAGUAUUCCACCUGGGGAGUACGCCGGCAACGGUGAAACUCAAAGGAAUUGACGGGGGCCCGCACAAGCGGAGGAACAUGUGGUUUAAUUCGAUGAUACGCGAGGAACCUUACCCGGGCUUAAAUUGCAACCGAAUAUGGCGGAAACGCUAUAGCUAGCAAUAGCGGUUGUGAAGGUGCUGCAUGGUUGUCGUCAGCUCGUGCCGUGAGGUGUCGGCUUAAGUGCCAUAACGAGCGCAACCCUUGCCGAUAGUUACUAACAGGUUAUGCUGAGGACUCUGUCGGGACUGCCAUCGUAAGAUGUGAGGAAGGUGGGGAUGACGUCAAAUCAGCACGGCCCUUACGUCCGGGGCUACACACGUGUUACAAUGGGGGGUACAGAGGGCUGCUACCACGCAAGUGGAUGCCAAUCCCAAAAACCUCUCUCAGUUCGGAUUGAAGUCUGCAACCCGACUUCAUGAAGCUGGAUUCGCUAGUAAUCGCGCAUCAGCCACGGCGCGGUGAAUACGUUCCCGGGCCUUGUACACACCGCCCGUCAAGCCAUGGGAGCCGGGGGUACCUGAAGUGCGUAACCGCAAGGAGCGCCCUAGGGUAAAACUGGUGACUGGGGC
Molecule: ribosomal RNA, 1436 nt
Filed under: uncultured organism
Description: 16S ribosomal RNA
Rfam family: Bacterial small subunit ribosomal RNA
Source: RNAcentral